RNAcentral lists this ribosomal RNA (439 nucleotides) under uncultured bacterium. RNAcentral describes it as "bacterial SSU rRNA". It matches the Rfam family "Bacterial small subunit ribosomal RNA", at positions 355 to 814 of the family's 1533-position model. The record is from RNAcentral.
UGGGGAAUCUUGGACAAUGGGCGCAAGCCUGAUCCAGCCAUGCCGCGUGAGUGAUGAAGGCCUUAGGGUUGUAAAGCUCUUUUGCCGGGGACGAUAAUGACGGUACCCGGAGAAUAAGUCCCGGCUAACUUCGUGCCAGCAGCCGCGGUAAUACGAAGGGGACUAGCGUUGUUCGGAAUCACUGGGCGUAAAGCGCACGUAGGCGGAUUUGUAAGUCAGGGGUGAAAUCCCGGGGCUCAACCUCGGAACUGCCUUUGAUACUGCGGAUCUCGAGUCCGAUAGAGGUGAGUGGAAUUCCUAGUGUAGAGGUGAAAUUCGUAGAUAUUAGGAAGAACACCGGUGGCGAAGGCGGCUCACUGGAUCGGUACUGACGCUGAGGUGCGAAAGCGUGGGGAGCAAACAGGAUUAGAUACCCCAGUAGUCCCUGAGCGGGCUGGCA